UGAAGCUAUGAUUAGGCAUUGUACACGAA
This 29-nucleotide non-coding RNA is filed under the name Homo sapiens (human). The record is from RNAcentral. Lineage: Eukaryota; Metazoa; Chordata; Mammalia; Primates; Hominidae.